UACGUAGGGGGCGAGCGUUGUCCGGAAUUAUUGGGCGUAAAGAGCUCGUAGGCGGCUUGGCAAGUCGGAUGUGAAAACUCCAGGCUCAACCUGGAGCCGCCAUUCGAUACUGCUAUGGCUAGAGUCCGGUAGGGGAGUGUGGAAUUCCCGGUGUAGCGGUGAAAUGCGUAGAGAUGUGGAGAAACACCGAUGGCGAAGGCAGCCCCCUGGGUCAAGAUUGACGCUCAUGCACGAAAGCGUGGGGAGCAAACAGG
Molecule: ribosomal RNA, 254 nt
Filed under: uncultured bacterium
Lineage: Bacteria
Description: partial 16S ribosomal RNA
Rfam family: Bacterial small subunit ribosomal RNA
Source: RNAcentral